GAUGAACGCUGGCGGCGUGCCUAAUACAUGCAAGUCGAGCGAACAGACGAGGAGCUUGCUCCUCUGACGUUAGCGGCGGACGGGUGAGUAACACGUGGAUAACCUACCUAUAAGACUGGGAUAACUUCGGGAAACCGGAGCUAAUACCGGAUAAUAUAUUGAACCGCAUGGUUCAAUAGUGAAAGACGGUUUUGCUGUCACUUAUAGAUGGAUCCGCGCCGCAUUAGCUAGUUGGUAAGGUAACGGCUUACCAAGGCAACGAUGCGUAGCCGACCUGAGAGGGUGAUCGGCCACACUGGAACUGAGACACGGUCCAGACUCCUACGGGAGGCAGCAGUAGGGAAUCUUCCGCAAUGGGCGAAAGCCUGACGGAGCAACGCCGCGUGAGUGAAGAAGGUCUUCGGAUCGUAAAACUCUGUUAUUAGGGAAGAAAAAAUGUGUAAGUAACUAUGCACGUCUUGACGGUACCUAAUCAGAAAGCCCCGGCUAACUACGUG
This 497-nucleotide ribosomal RNA is filed under the name uncultured bacterium. RNAcentral's name for it is "partial 16S ribosomal RNA". It matches the Rfam family "Bacterial small subunit ribosomal RNA", at positions 28 to 507 of the family's 1533-position model. The record is from RNAcentral.